RNAcentral lists this ribosomal RNA (484 nucleotides) under uncultured bacterium. RNAcentral's name for it is "partial 16S ribosomal RNA". It matches the Rfam family "Bacterial small subunit ribosomal RNA", at positions 30 to 507 of the family's 1533-position model. The record is from RNAcentral.
AUUGAACGCUGGCGGCAGGCCUAACACAUGCAAGUCGAGCGGAUGAAGGGUGCUUGCUCCUGGAUUUAGCGGCGGACGGGUGAGUAAUGCCUAGGAAUCUGCCUGGUAGUGGGGGAUAACGUCCGGAAACGGGCGUUACUAAUGCAUACGUCCUGAGGGAGCAAGUGGGGGAUCUUCGGAUCUCAUGCUACAAGAUGAGCCUAGGUCGGAUUAGUUAGUUGGUGGGGUAAUGACCUACCAAGGCGACGAUCGGUAGCUGGUCUGAGAGGAUGAUCAGUCACACUGGAACGGAGACGCGGUCCAGACUCCUGAGAUAGGCAACAGUGGGGAAUGUUAGGCAAUGGUGGAGAGCCUUAUCCAUCCCUACCACGUGUGUGAAGAAGGUCUUCGGAUUGGAAUGCACUUUAAGUUGGGGGGAAGGGCAGUAAGUUAAUACCUUGCGGUUUUGACGUUACCAGCUGAAUAAGCACCGGCUAACUACGUG